AGCGAACGUUAGCGGCGCGCCUAACACAUGCAAGUCGCACGAGAAAGGGAGCAAUCCCCGGUACAGUGGCGCACGGGUGAGUAACACGUAGAUGACCUUCCCUGGAGUGGUGGAUAACCUGCCGAAAGGCGGGCUAAUACAGCAUGGGACCACAUGGUUUUGACCGAGUGGUGAAAGCGGGCCUCUGUUCACAAGCUCGCGCUCUGGGAUGGGUCUGCGUCCCAUCAGCUAGUUGGUGAGGUAAUGGCUCACCAAGGCAUCGACGGGUAGCUGGUCUGAGAGGAUGACCAGCCACACUGGAACUGAGACACGGUCCAGACUCCUACGGGAGGCAGCAGUGGGGAAUCUUGCGCAAUGGGCGAAAGCCUGACGCAGCGACGCCGCGUGGGUGAUGAAGGCCUCGGUUGUUA
Molecule: ribosomal RNA, 410 nt
Filed under: uncultured bacterium
Lineage: Bacteria
Description: bacterial SSU rRNA
Rfam family: Bacterial small subunit ribosomal RNA
Source: RNAcentral